CGGUGCUAUACAUGCAGUCGAGCGGACAGAUGGGAGCUUGCUCCCUGAUGUUAGCGGCGGACGGGUGAGUAACACGUGGGUAACCUGCCUGUAAGACUGGGAUAACUCCGGGAAACCGGGGCUAAUACCGGAUGCUUGUUUGAACCGCAUGGUUCAAACAUAAAAGGUGGCUUCGGCUACCACUUACAGAUGGACCCGCGGCGCAUUAGCUAGUUGGUGAGGUAAUGGCUCACCAAGGCAACGAUGCGUAGCCGACCUGAGAGGGUGAUCGGCCACACUGGGACUGAGACACGGCCCAGACUCCUACGGGAGGCAGCAGUAGGGAAUCUUCCGCAAUGGACGAAAGUCUGACGGAGCAACGCCGCGUGAGUGAUGAAGGUUUUCGGAUCGUAAAGCUCUGUUGUUAGGGAAGAACAAGUACCGUUCGAAUAGGGCGGUACCUUGACGGUACCUAACCAGAAAGCCACGGCUAACUACGUGCCAGCAGCCGCGGUAAUACGUAGGUGGCAAGCGUUGUCCGGAAUUAUUGGGCGUAAAGGGCUCGCAGGCGGUUCCUUAAGUCUGAUGUGAAAGCCCCCGGCUCAACCGGGGAGGGUCAUUGGAAACUGGGGAACUUGAGUGCAGAAGAGGAGAGUGGAAUUCCACGUGUAGCGGUGAAAUGCGUAGAGAUGUGGAGGAACACCAGUGGCGAAAGGCGACUCUCUGGUCUGUAACUGACGCUGAGGAGCGAAAGCGUGGGGGAGCGAACAGGAUUAGAUACCCUGGUAGUCCACGCCGUAAACGAUGAGUGCUAAGUGUUAGGGGGUUUCCGCCCCCUUAGUGCUGCAGCUAACGCAUUAAUCACUCCGCCUGGGGAGUACGGUCGCGAGGACUGAUACUCAAANNAUUGACGGGGCCCCGCACAGCGUUGCANCAUGUGAUUUAAUCAAANCAACGCGACGAACAUAACAGGUCGUGGACAUCGUCUGANAAUCNAANAA
RNAcentral lists this ribosomal RNA (980 nucleotides) under Bacillus sp. NCCP-317. Its description in RNAcentral is "bacterial SSU rRNA". It matches the Rfam family "Bacterial small subunit ribosomal RNA", at positions 43 to 1005 of the family's 1533-position model. The record is from RNAcentral. Lineage: Bacteria; Bacillati; Bacillota; Bacilli; Caryophanales; Bacillaceae.